UAAUCCAUGUCUAUCUAAUGACUGAAUUCCAAAAUUAUAAUUUUUUGCACUCUUGAUUUAACCAAAAACACUGCAUUAUUUGAAUGAUCACUUUUUUUUUUACACUCCUAGUAGUCCAGAGACACAAUAUUGCUCCAGACAGGCACACAACAGACCGCUGUAUAUUCACAGCAGGUGGUGCUGUGUAAUCAACUCACCAAAGCCUGCUGCUGCACCAACCUCUGCAGCUGUAACUGUUGGACGCCAGGUCACUCCGACUCAGUAGACACUUAUUAGUAUAUUAUCUCAUCUCCCAGAGCACAGAGGGGAGAGGAAUCGGGCUGCUGCCACCUCAGUGAUACCAUUUAAUUAGCUUGAGUAGAGUUUAGUUGAAGAGAUGCUGGGUAAUCCAUUCCUGCCAAAUGGAAUUUUUAAUUUUCUACUUUUACGAAGACUUGAGAGGAUAGUUUUCUCUCUGUAUUCUUUGAUGUGUGUAUAAUGAGGUUGUUCUCUGGUGUGUGCGUAUUACAAGAAGAGCUGUCAAAAUGUGUUGUAACUCAUUUUAAUCAGACCUCGGAAGGAUCCUUUACACACAAACAAUAAUCUGUGCUGCUUCCUCUGUUGCCCAUCACGAUCACAGUUUAGCAAACGGUUUAGACCUGCUGUCUCAUCUCCUCUGCUCUGCUUUUGCCUCAUGUUGUCAUAGUGAACUACCUACUGAACAUCAAAACAUCAUCAUCUGCAUGACAAUGCAAAGCCUUUAGUGAUUGUGUGUUUAAAUACCUUGUAACGUGUUUAGUGGUCCUGAAACGAGACCGUAACUCCAUCCGCAGGACCUUUUAUAAGUGUGUUAUUGUGUUUCAUAAACACGUCAGUGCUGGUUCUCUUGUGUUACAGUUAACCCCAGGCAGUGUCACUAUGGCAACCCAGGCCUCUUUCAGUGGGGGACUACAGGUUCCUGUAGAUCCGUUUCACAUAGCUCCACCAACAUACUGUAGGAUCUUAGAUAGAGAUC
This is a long non-coding RNA of Etheostoma cragini (Arkansas darter), 994 nucleotides long. RefSeq lists it as uncharacterized. The transcript has 3 exons. The record is from RefSeq and is a predicted model, not a curated record. Lineage: Eukaryota; Metazoa; Chordata; Actinopteri; Perciformes; Percidae.